RNAcentral lists this ribosomal RNA (425 nucleotides) under Buchnera aphidicola. RNAcentral describes it as "bacterial SSU rRNA". It matches the Rfam family "Bacterial small subunit ribosomal RNA", at positions 280 to 722 of the family's 1533-position model. The record is from RNAcentral. RNAcentral also lists the same sequence under 2 other names. Lineage: Bacteria; Pseudomonadati; Pseudomonadota; Gammaproteobacteria; Enterobacterales; Erwiniaceae.
UCAGUAGCUGGUCCGAGAGGAUGAUCAGCCACACUGGGACUGAGACACGGCCCAAACUCCUACGGGAGGCAGCAGUGGGGAAUUUUCCGCAAUGGGCGAAAGCCUGACGCAGCCAUGCCGCGUGAAUGAUGAAGGUCUUAGGAUUGUAAAAUUCUUUCACCGGGGACGAUAAUGACGGUACCCGGAGAAGAAGCCCCGGCUAACUUCGUGCCAGCAGCCGCGGUAAUACGAAGGGGGCUAGCGUUGCUCGGAAUUACUGGGCGUAAAGGGAGCGUAGGCGGACAUUUAAGUCAGGGGUGAAAUCCCGGGGCUCAACCUCGGAAUUGCCUUUGAUACUGGGUGUCUUGAGUAUGAGAGAGGUGUGUGGAACUCCGAGUGUAGAGGUGAAAUUCGUAGAUAUUCGGAAGAACACCAGUGGCGAAGGC